CUGCGUGCUGGAUGAAGGUCUCUCGGAUUGUAAACAGCUGUAGGGGGGGAUGAAGUGCAUGGGAGCUAUCUCCUGUGUUUGACAGAGCCCCAGAGAAAGCGCGGGCUAAGUCAGUGCCAGCAGCCGCGCGAUAAUACGAACUGCGCGAACGUUAUUCGGAUUCACUGGGCUUAAAGGGUGCGUAGGCGGCUUGUUAAGUGGGAUGUGAAAUUUUGCGGCUCAACCGUAAGACUGCAUCUCAUACUGGCCAGCUGGAGUGAGUCAGGGGUGUGUGGAACUGCCAGUGGACCGGUGAAAUGUGCUUGAUAUUGGCAGGAACGCCGGUGGCGAAAGCGACACACUGGGGCUUAUCUGACGCUGCAGGGCACGAAAGCCAGGGGAGCAAACGGGAUUAGAUACCCCGGUAGUCCUGGUCGUAAACGAUGAGUACUAGGUCGGGGGGAUUCGUCUUCCUAGCCGUAGGGAAACCAUUAAGUACUCCGCCUGGGGAGUACGGUCGCAGGAUUAAGACUCACCGGAAUUGACGGGGGCCCGCACAAGCGGUGGAUUAUGUGGAUUAGUUCGAGUGCAACGCGAAAAAACCUUUACCUGGCCUUGACCUGUAGCGAACUUAGCAGAGAUGCUUUGGUG
This 630-nucleotide ribosomal RNA is filed under the name uncultured archaeon. RNAcentral's name for it is "bacterial SSU rRNA". It matches the Rfam family "Bacterial small subunit ribosomal RNA", at positions 397 to 1016 of the family's 1533-position model. The record is from RNAcentral.